RNAcentral lists this ribosomal RNA (326 nucleotides) under uncultured bacterium. Its description in RNAcentral is "bacterial SSU rRNA". It matches the Rfam family "Bacterial small subunit ribosomal RNA", at positions 29 to 349 of the family's 1533-position model. The record is from RNAcentral.
AUUGAACGCUGGCGGCAUGCUUUACACAUGCAAGUCGAACGGCAGCACGGGGCGAACCCUCGGUGGCGAGUGGCGAACGGGUGAGUAACACAUCGGAACGUGCCCAGUUGUGGGGGAGUAACCUAUCGAAAGGUAGGCUAAUACCGCAUGAGCUCGGCAAGAGGAAAGCGGGGGACGUCAGCGAUGGGCCUCGCGCGACUGGAGCGGCCGAUGUCCGAUUAGCAGUUGGUGGGGUAAAGGCUUACCAAGGCGACGAUCGGUAGCUGGUCUGAGAGGAUGAUCAGCCACACUGGGACUGAGACACGGCCCAGACUCCUACGGGAGGC